UACAUGGGGGGCAAGCGUUGUUCGGAAUUACUGGGCGUAAAGGGUGCGUAGGUGGUUUGUUAAGUCAGGGGUGAAAUCCCGCGGCCCAACCGUGGAACUGCCUUUGAUACUGGCGAACUUGAGUGCGUGAGGGGUAGGGGGAACGAGCAGUGUAGCGGUGAAAUGCGUAGAUAUUGCUCGGAAGGCCAGAGCCGAAGGGGCCCUACUGGUGCGCAACUGACACUGAGGCACGAAAGCGUGGGGAGCAAACAGG
Molecule: ribosomal RNA, 253 nt
Filed under: uncultured bacterium
Lineage: Bacteria
Description: partial 16S ribosomal RNA
Rfam family: Bacterial small subunit ribosomal RNA
Source: RNAcentral